Molecule: long non-coding RNA, 243 nt
Filed under: Olea europaea (common olive)
Lineage: Eukaryota; Viridiplantae; Streptophyta; Magnoliopsida; Lamiales; Oleaceae
Description: long non-coding RNA (OEUR_LNC001376)
Source: RNAcentral
UUAUUUUGAUGCAGACGGAUCAUUUCUCAAGGUGGAGAAAUUUGGAGCAUCAUUCGUUGCACAGGAAUUUCGAGUCAAGGUGGAGAUUGUUAAAUAUGUGUCUCAAAAUUUGGCAAGAAUUUGGCAAUCUUGGGUUUUGGAAAGAAAUCUUGUUGGAGCCAUAUGGUUUUAGGAAAUAAUCAAUAGGAUUCAAGAAAUAUGGAAAGAAUCAAUUGGAAUCCAAGAUUAGGAAGGAAACAAUUU